AUUGAACGCUGGCGGCAUGCCUUACACAUGCAAGUCGAACGGUAACAGGUCUUCGGAUGCUGACGAGUGGCGAACGGGUGCGUAAUACAUCGGAACGUGCCCAGACGUGGGGGAUAACGAGGCGAAAGCUUUGCUAAUACCGCAUACGAUCUAAGGAUGAAAGCAGGGGACCGCAAGGCCUUGUGCGUUUGGAGCGGCCGAUGGCAGAUUAGGUAGUUGGUGGGAUAAAAGCUUACCAAGCCGACGAUCUGUAGCUGGUCUGAGAGGACGACCAGCCACACUGAGACUGAGACACGGCCCAGACUCCUACGGGAGGCAGCAGUGGGGAAUUUUGGACAAUGGGCGAAAGCCUGAUCCAGCAAUGCCGCGUGCAGGAUGAGGGCCUUCGGGUUGUAAACUGCUUUUGUACGGAACGAAAAGGCUCUGGCUAAUACCUGGGGCACAUGACGGUACCGUAAGAAUAAGCACCGGCUAACUACGUG
Molecule: ribosomal RNA, 482 nt
Filed under: uncultured bacterium
Lineage: Bacteria
Description: partial 16S ribosomal RNA
Rfam family: Bacterial small subunit ribosomal RNA
Source: RNAcentral